CCCCAUACCAUAGUUACCAUACACCCCCUCAUGAUCAUUCAUCAUUCUCAUUCAUCAUUCUCAUCCUCCUCUCUCUCUCUCUCUCUCUCUCUCUCUCUCUCUCUAACCCCCCUUGAAGAUAGGCGAGACUCUUGGGGGACAGAGAGAUAAAAGAGAUCAGAGAAAGCCACAUAGUCCACAUAUAUAUAGAGACACACAUGAUCGUCAAAAUAAUGGAUUUUGAAGAAGAGGAUAGAUAGAUAUGUGAAGCUUUAGCUUUUGAGGGGAAUGUUGUCUGGCUCGAGGACACUUUUCCUUGAUCUGUAUUUCUUAUAGAUCAACCUGUAUAUUUAUAUCUAGGUAUACAUAUAUAUGGCUUUUGGUGAAUUAGUGUCGUCGGACCAGGCUUCAUUCCCCCCAAUUUAUGGCUUCCAUUGACCUGUUGUUUUUCCACGGCAGAGGGCUUAAUUCUUCACACGGUCUUAGAGGAUCAUAAAAUUAUGAUGAUGUUGUUUUUGUCAGUCUAAGGCUCUAAGCGCUUUUUCCGCUUCAUCAUUAUCCAGAUUUACCUCAUGAUGCCUUCCAGUAUCUGAUCUGUCCGUUUCUGCCAUUUUUCAGAUCUGGCUUUUUUGGCUUUCUUUUUAAACUUUGGUAAACAUUCUCUCUUCUUUCUCACGUUCUAACUCUCUCUCUCUCUCCUCUCUCUUAGGGUUUCGUGGGUCUAGAUUUAGGCUAUUAUCUAAAUGGAUCUUUUUUUAAAUAGCAUAAGCCUUUGCUUAGGAGAACAAGCAAGGAACUGACACCCUUUCUGACAUUGUUUGAAAUGCCUAUUUUCAUUUGUCAACAGUUUUCUAUUGCUCUCAGUCAGUAAUCCUUUUCUCAGAGUGUUGAUUAAUAAUAAUGUUUAAAGAUACAUAUAUAUAUGAUUGCUGUAUUUCAUUAUUUUGCAGAUCAGUUAAUUAUAUUCUUGUUGCUUUUAUUUAUAUGCUAUGCUUCAGAGCUACCUUUCUUUUGGUCUUGAUGAUAAUGUCCUAGCUGGACAUCUCUUUACAACUUGAACUUUGCUUCUUUCAAAAUGUGAUGAGCAUAUGACAUGUACAUUGCAGCACAAAGGACAACUAUAACUUUGGGAAAGUGUGCGUGUCUGGUUGUCCAAAAGGAAGCCUGGUCACUUGCCUUUCCUUUAGUAUCUUCUCAGUGGAUAUACCUAUUGAAACCCUAAUCUUGUUCAUCUUGGAUUUGCUGUGAAAAGCUUUGUGAUUCUCAAAGCUUUUAGUCACUCACAUUGUCUUUUCCCCUCCUGACUUUUUGUCCCUUCAUUAUGGUUUUAUUUGACUGACUGUGCUAGCUAGCUCAGAGUCAAGGGCCUUAGAACACAGGCAUUGCUGAAAACUAAAGGUAUUGAAAAUGCAUAUGCUAGACAAGAACAAGGAGCACUGUGGAGGUAAUCUAGAUGCCCCAAACAAGUUACAAACUACUAAUUUGAUCAAGUUCUUCUUAGAACUUUCUUAAGCUUAAAAGUUUAAGAAUUCCCUUUGUACAAUCCCAGAGUUCAAUUUCUUCUUGUAAUCUAGUGUUUUGUUGUCUCCCUUUUUUUUUUUUUUUGGUUACAUUGGAGUUCGAACUGGGUGCCAUCAUGCCACCACCUCUAUAGUGGGAACCCAUUGGCGUUAUCUCCCUUCUUUACAAACUAUACAUGUAUUCUUCAAGGCUACUGAUUAAUCCCAGAGUUCAAUUUCUUCUUAAUUAUUCUAGUGUUUUUUGUUAUCUACAUUCUUUAAUUUCCUUCUUAGUUUUGAUAACAAGGUUUUGGAACAAGUGUUUUCUUGGCCACUAAGAACUUAUAGUAAUUAACAUUCCUUAUUCUAAUUAAUGUAAACUCUCUUUCUAUCUCUCUCAAGCCCACACACACACACACACACACAUUUAGAUUAACACAUUCAUCUUCAGAUAUUGCUUGAUAUUACAUACAAGUGGUCUUCUUGUCUCUUUGUGGAUUUUUCACUAUUAUUUUCCAUGUCACACAAACCUGUUUGCAAGAAAAGUCAAUGUAUGAAAAGCAGCUGGUUUGGAAUCAAGGAAGAAAUCUCAUUUGCUAGCAAUCAAACUCUUCCCCCUUGUGCUUUGAUUUUUUCACUAAUGUGGUAAUUAAAUCUAAUUUCCCUGUUUAAAUUGGAAGAUGUGGGCACUCGUGGUUUUUGU
Molecule: non-coding RNA, 2181 nt
Organism: Prunus avium (sweet cherry)
Lineage: Eukaryota; Viridiplantae; Streptophyta; Magnoliopsida; Rosales; Rosaceae
Source: RefSeq, a predicted model, not a curated record